GGCGCCGCGAGGUUUUAAAGCCCGGGCCCUGCGGCCCGCAGCAAGUGGGGUGAGCGCCGCGUGCGUUUCGGGAGCCGGCCUGCUCCCUUCCCCCUUGGUAAGUCGAGCGCGGACCUGAGAGGGGGCCGGGGGACCCGGGGGUCUGCGCGCAGCGGCAGCGGCAACUUUUCCGCGCUGGACUCGCGGGCGGAGUGGGGACGCGCCUGGAGGGGUCCCCAACUCUUGGCAACGAGGGCGGCGCGGCGGGGAGUUGGGGGAAAGCCGGGAAGGGGCUUCUGGGGUGGUAGCGACAGAGUCCUGGGGCGCUACCUGCGGAUGAGGGAAGGGCGGCCUGGCUCUGAACCAUCCCCUCAGGCCCGCCCCAGGAGACCUAUUGGGACUUGCUGGGAAGCGCAAAGAGAGAGGGUCCCUGCCUGCCUUGGAGUUUGGCUAGCUAUGCACAGGGGUCCCACUGGGCCCCUAUCUGGCUUUGGGCUAGAAGCACGGGGAAGGGACUCCCGGAGUUCUCUGGAUGAGAGGGAAGUGGUGUCACUUGCAAGUUCUUGACAAGUUGGGGUGAGUGGAGGGAGACGGUUUCCUGUGGGUGGGGGCGAUCUGGUGGGCCCUGGUGCAGCUGGGGUUCAGGGUGUCUCUGCCUCCUGGAUGCGCCUGGCUCCCUCUAGGAGCAGCUCAUGCAAUGUUGGUAGGAAGGGGCCAGGUUUGGGGGUCUCCUGGAGGGCUGACUCUCUAGCCCUGUCAGCUCUGGGGACCCCAUGCCCUUGCACUACAGGAGGUGGGUAAAAUGACCUGGCUGAACCCCAGCUUCUCUGUGCCUGCCCCAGAGAGACUUCUGGUUCCAGCUUUGCUUGGAUGUCCCAAGCCCCAUCCCUGACCUUCCUGCCCAGCUCGGUUGGGGCCCAGGCCCAGGGCCUCCUGAAUGCCUGGGAGGUGCCCUUGGCUGGCUGUCUCCUGUCCCCUUCCCAGCCCCCACCAGCUGCCCGCCGGUGACAGGGUGGUCUCAUGUCCUUGGCAGUCUUGUCUGGGCCAGCCCAAGCUGGAAGGCAGUGCCCAACAGGUGCCUGGCUCAGAGGCGAGGUGAUGUGGGACACGCCCUGUCCGCUCGCCCACAUGCCCUGCUGGGCCAGCAUGGGCACAUGUGUUCCUGCACGGCCGUCCUGGGAAGGCACGGGCCCUGGGUCUGAUGCCAGCUUGUCCUGCGCUUGCAGGGUUCCCUCUGGGAGCUCCCUCAAGACCCCAGCUAGUAGCAGAUCUUGCCCACGGUCCUGGAGGGGCCCUAAAAUAUCUGCUGGCUGGGCCCCGGGCUGGCACGCAGAGUCCAUGCGUGACAGGGCGUGUCCAGGGGUCGGGCCUGUCUGUGCUGGCCCAGCCUCUGUGUCUCCAAUUCCUGCUUGCAGGGGAGAGAGCAAAGAUGGAUGUUCAGGGGUUCUCCCACGGACCCCACAAACAUGCCACACCCUGCCUGAUCGCAAGUGGGGCCCAGAUGUUCAGAUAUUGUGUGUGGGCUGCAGCUUUGGGGCAGGUGCUGUGUAUAUGCAUUCCUGGGGUGACAGUGCCAGUGCAAACCCUGGGGUAACCUGACUGCUCCCGAGGUCCAUGUGGGGCUUAUCCAUCUUCAGGAGCUUUUUGAAAUCUGCCCUGCACCUUGGGUGGGGCUCUGUCCACAGUGAAUGAUGCUGCUGGGAACCUUGGGUGGUCUUAGAAAACCUUCCUCCAACGCUUUUUUCAGGACUUUGUUAUUUUUAUUUUAUUUUUUGGAGGUGGAGGUGAGACAGGUUUCACAUGUAGCCCAUGCUGGCCUAGAACUCAACUGUAUAGCCCAGGCUGGUCUUGAACUCAUGGCGAUUCUCCUGCCUCAGUCUCCAGAGUUGCUGAGAUUACAGGUGCGUGCCACCACACCUGGCUCCACUUUGGGUAUUCCUUAGGCCAGGUACAGGCUGGUUGUGUGUGAGACUCACUGUGGGACCUCACUCCGGCUGGGGAUCGCCCUGUCCUCUGCCUUAUGCAUCUAGAACUGGGGAGAGUUCCCAUGUGAGAGGAGAGCAGCGUGCCCUGCGCUUCUCCCGCCCAGGCCCUGGACUCCAGACUUUUUGGGGCGCUCUGGUCCCUUUCUCCCCUGCUGUCUGGGGUCCUGGGCCGCUCACCUGGAGACGUAUGCAAGGGUUUCGGGUGUGGGCGUGUGGGAAUUCUUGGGUAGAGCAGGAUGCGCCAUGCUGGGCACAGCUGAGUCAUACUCCAGUGGCGCCUUGCCCCAGGGUGCUGGGGCUGGCGCCACCCUGGGUGUGGUCACUGUGCUGUGGCCCGCGGCUGGGUGGUCUGGGAUGUGGCAGGGUGGUGAGGGGCAGCAAAGCAGCUUCUGAGAUGCUAAUUCUUGCCAUCCACAACUAUGGGCAGAUAACCUCCAUAAUGCCGUGGGGAGUCCAGGGACAUCGAGCCACGCGUUUGGGGAAUUUUGGGGUGUCAUGAAAAGAGGACAGAGCCCAUUAGAAAGCAGAUACAGCUGGACAUGGUGGUGCUCACCUGUCAUCCCAGCACUCUGGGAGGCUGAGGCAGGAGGAUCACAAGUUUGAGCUCAGCCUGGGCAACUUAGCGAGACCUUGCCUCAAAAUAAAAAAUAAAGGCCUGGGGAUGGAGCACAAUGUGAAGGCCCCUGGUUCAAACCCUAGUCUCUAAAAAAAAAAAAAAAAGAAGAAGCCAUUUACUCUCUUCUAGGCUUGUAGCCCCCAAACUCCAGGCUAGGGUUUAGAAAUAGACUUCAGUGGCAGGUAGAGGUGGGUACACAAUGGUGGGGUGUACCCCUCAGGGAAGGGCUUCCUGGGUGGAUAUGGGGGUGCCCCUCCAGGCUCUGUGAUUGGCCAGGCCAUGCCUUUGAUCUCCCUAUUUAUAACAGAUGAUUCAGUGUGCUCUUACCCAUCCUGAGCCUGCCCCCAGGGCCAGCCCUGGGUGGGCCAUGGGACUCCCACUUGCAAGGGUGCCAACCCUCGGGACUGCCCAACCUCGUGGGGACAGACCUUAUUGUUCCUGCCGGGGUAACUGGGGUGGAGGGUAGGGGGACUGGCGGUCAGGCGGCGCUGGGCUGGGAAGCCCCGGUUGGCGGCUGGCUCGGGGCCCGGCCCACCGAGCUUCUGUUAAGAGUCUGGCCCAUUAGGCAAAGCGCUAGUGACAGGCUGGGCGGCGGCGGGCAGGGCGGGGCCAGCAGUCCUUGGUAUUUUCCGAUCCCAGCUGCUCUGUGAGGGUGGAAAGUAUUUGGGGAUCAGGCUUGGAGGCGGCAGCGGCGGUGGAGUCCCGGCGGAAGCCGUCCCUGAUGCAUUCCUGGGGCACGGGGCCCUGUGUGUGUCUGAUGGGGAAACUGAGGCUUCUAGGGCAUCUGGGAAACUGCAUUUGGGACUUGAACUCUGGUCUGGUGUUUGGGUGCCAGCCUCUGGCCCCGCCCAGUGCCUCCCACCCUUUGCCAUGGCCGGCUGGGGUUCCUGGGGAUGGGAUUUGCUGUCUCACAAAUCACAUUGCCAGGGAUUUCCAACCGACCCUGAGCUCUGCCUCCGGGCCCACCACUGCCACUGAGGAUGCCUGUCCAUGCCUGGGGACGGGGUGUCGGAGAGGCCCUGCCACCGCCACCACCACUGCUGUAGCCGUCGCCAGGCCUGAGGAGCAGGGCUUAGCUGCUUGUGAGCAGAGUCCGCACCAAGUCGUGUUCACAGUGGCUAAGUUCCGUCCCCUGGGCCCCGCCUCCACCGCCCCACCUUUCUGCUGGUUGCCCAGUUCCCCGGGCUCUGCCUCCCGUGCCUACUGAGCUGAAACACAGUUGAUUUGUGCAGACUGGCUCAGUUCAGCAGGAACAGGGGUCAAGCCCCCUGGAGCCUGGAGCGCACAGCCUGGCUGUCCUGACACGGCGACCAGACAGGCGCAGAUGUGUCUGAAGGAGGGGACACGGGAGGACGGGGUGAGAGGGCUGGCCUGGGUCUAGGCAUCUGCUGCAGGCCACCUCUCUUUUUUGUUUUUUGAUACCAUGGAUGGAACUCGGGUCCUUGCACUUUCGCAGCAGGCAGUGAAACCACUGAGCUAAAUCCCCAGCCCAAGGCCACCUCUCUUGGUCUGCACAGAGGGACCCUGUUGUCCCAACAUGGCCAUACCUCGAACAGGCUGAGCCGUUGUCCCAGGGUAGACAGGACAGAGGGUCCUUCCUUAAGCCAGCUGUGCUUCUCUGGGCCUAGCACCUCAGCUCCUCCCUGUUUUGAUUCGUGAGAUUGAGUCUCCCUGUGUAAUCCAGGCUGGCUUUGAAUUAUGUAGCCAGGCAGUCCUCCUGCCUCAGCUUCCUGAGUGCUGGGAUGACAUGUGUGUGUCACCAUGCCUGGCCCUGCCCCUCCUGUCCUAAGCCUAGCGGGGAGUGCUGAACCUUCCCAGCUGCCUGUUACCCAAGAGGAAGCUGCCUUAGGCCCCCUGACCGUUAAGUGCCAACUCACAGCUUCUGGAACUAGCUGGCCCGACUUGGCCGAGUGAGUGUGCCUGGGCCCCUCUCCCUGGCCCUGAGGGUUCUUAAUGACACCCACUCCACGUGGGGUAGGGAACAGUUCCAUGCGGCCCCAAGAGGGACAUGAUCAGGCCUCCCCUGUCCUGGGGUUGAGGUCAUCCUGUCCUGCUCUCCUUGGUGGUCCUGGGCUUGGAAGAGGUGAAUUGUGCCACUGUCCCCAAGUCAGAUGGGAGGAAGCUCUUUGGGCCUGGAGGGAGGGUCCAGUGAAAUGCCCAGACUGUCAGGGCUGGCCUGGUGUUGCCCAGGUAGGGGCAGACAGGAGCUUGGGUGGAGGGAGGGCAGCAUUUGUAUUGUGCCCCGCAUGUGAUGCCCAGUGAAAUAAAAGUUGUCCCAGCUUCACUCCUGAGGCUCUGAUGGUCCGUGAUUUGCUCCUGUCUCUGUCCUUACAGUUACAGCUUUUUAUUCUUUCCGAUGCUGGGGGUGGAACUCCGGCCUCGUGCGGGCUGGACCAGCGCUCACCACCGAGUUACCUUGCCGGCUACACAUGCAGCCUUUGCAUUCUGGAGCAGGGGCUCCAGAUCUCACCGGCUCCCAACCCCCGCUCUGAGGGUGGCGGGAAAAGCCAGACUUGUUUUCCUGUGGACCAAGGGGGGCCCUGAGCUUGGAGAGGUGACUUUGAGGGAUGUCCUGGGGUGACACUAUUGUGGGAGGAACAAAAAUGAGGGUUACUAUGAAUGAUGACUGAGCCAAGAGGGAGGGAAGGGAGCCUGAUCUAGGGAUGGUGGGGGUGGAUUGGGCCUCAGGACAAACUGGACCGGGAGACCACUGGACGUGAGGGUCCUGAGCUAAUGGCAUUUGGGGACCACUGGGACUUAACCUGGGCUGUGGGGAGAGAUCUAGGGUGCCUGCUGUCUUAAGAAUGCUGAAAUUUUUUUCGAGACGGUCUUGAUUGUAGGCUGGCUCGGAGUCUCGGCAAGCCUCCUGCCUCAGCCUCCGGAGUCCCAGGAUGACAGGCGUUGCCACCACGCCCAGCUAGAAGGUGUAUGCGUAAGGCGGAGGAGAUUCCUGGUCCAAGGGGGAGAUAUUCAGGUGGCAGGGGACUAAGUGGCCCCCAGUCGGUAGGGAUACCCGUGGGUAACGGGAGCAGUGAGGGCGCCCGAGCCCCACGAGGGGCACCAAGGCGGACCAACGGCAGAGUGGGAAGCCCGGAUCGUCGCCCCACCCCGGCCCAGUCUAAGGCAGCCUGCGGGCGGGUCCAAGCCUCCGCAGCACGUACCUGCAGGAAUGAGCGGGGCUGGAGGUAGGGCCGUCGCCGAUUGGCCCCCUAGAUCCCAGGGCGUCACUCGGAACCAAUCGGCGUACCCAGCGCAGCCGGAGUCCCGCCCCCGAUUGCUCGCGCUGCCACGGC
Long non-coding RNA from Heterocephalus glaber (naked mole-rat), 5873 nucleotides. Lineage: Eukaryota; Metazoa; Chordata; Mammalia; Rodentia; Bathyergidae. The record is from Ensembl.